Molecule: ribosomal RNA, 397 nt
Filed under: uncultured bacterium
Lineage: Bacteria
Description: partial 16S ribosomal RNA
Rfam family: Bacterial small subunit ribosomal RNA
Source: RNAcentral
AUACGUAGGGGGCGAGCGUUGUCCGGAAUGAUUGGGCGUAAAGGGCGCGUAGGCGGCCCGGUAAGUCUGGAGUGAAAGUCCUGUUUUUAAGAUGGGAAUUGCUUUGGAUACUGUCGGGCUUGAGUGCAGGAGAGGGAAGUGGAAUUCCCAGUGUAGCGAUGAAAUGCGUAGAGAUUGGGAGGAACACCAGUGGCGAAGGCGACUUACUGGACUGUAACUGACGCUGAGGCGCGAAAGUGUGGGGAGUAAACAGGAUUAGAUACCCUGGUAGUCCACACUGUAAACGAUGAAUGCUAGGUGUAGGGGGUAUCGACCCCUUCUGUGCCGCAGUCAACACAAUAAGCAUUCCGCCUGGGGAGUACGGCCGCAGGGUUGAAACUCAAAUGAAUUGGCGGGG